RNAcentral lists this long non-coding RNA (625 nucleotides) under Triticum aestivum (bread wheat). RNAcentral describes it as "long non-coding RNA (TAES_LNC026335)". Lineage: Eukaryota; Viridiplantae; Streptophyta; Magnoliopsida; Poales; Poaceae. The record is from RNAcentral.
AGCACCAUCGUAGCCUUCCUCCCACCCUCCUAGCCUGAGUACGUGCUAACAACAAUUAGCCUUCCUCACCCUUGUAGUGCAAAAGUAAUAUAUAUGGGAAAAACCCACAGAGAAUCCUAACAAUAAUUAGUCUAAUUAUUAUAUACUAAACAUCAUGCACGAGAUAAGGAAAGCCCGACAAGAUUGAUUAUGCCUUCAAACAUCUCCACCAUAUUUGGUAGGAGUAUGUAUUUAAGUAGUACGUUUCUCCAUCAAGCAAGGCGAUACAUCGCUGCGAGAUCACACCAGGUCACCAAGACGAUACAUCACCGGGAGAUCACACCAGGUCACCAUGGAGGUCACAUGAGUUUAUUAUCACCAUCUCAGCGUCGCUUUCAUCACCCGAAGGUGAGUUCACCUUUUGACAGAGCCAUCUGUUUCUCCGACGUGGUGCCGUCUUUCUUGUGGAUCUUCAUGGCGAACUACUACAAAAAAAAUGAUUCUCAUAGUUUCUGCAAUUCCUAGGCCAGAUAGGUUGUAAUUACACAAAAUCACUUAUCAAGAAAUAUUCUGCCACGUCUUUGAAUAAACUUCAAGAAUGAAACACAACGCUCACCUGCAUAUCGACCGCUGGUGGUCUCCAGGG